AACCUGCUCUGGGGUGGGAGAUGCAGGGAUGAACAGGGUUGGCCGAGGAUCCUCCACUCCCUGCAGCCACCCUGCACCUCCCUCCCAGGGCCAUUCUCCUCAGGGGUUAAACUGGUUUUCCACAAGAACUAGUGCUCAGGGUCAGACUUGUUCUCUCUUCCAGGCUGGUAAUACUUUUCUCCCUGUUAGUUUUCUGUUAUUCGGCUAUAAAGGCUUUCUGUAAGGAUGUUUAGGUUUUAUAUGUACUUUGUCUGAUGUAUAAAACACUUUAUAAACUUUAUCCAUUUAAUUCUGCUACACUGAGCACUCUGCUAUAGGAGCAUUAUCUUCACUUUACAGAUAAGGAGAUUUACAUUCACACAAAGCCAUACUGGAAUUGGGGAGGACCAGGCUCAGGGCUCCAGAUAUGACGAUAACCGCUGUGUGCUUAAGGUGGUAGAUUGUACAGCUCUUUUCCAGCACAACACUGCAGGUCAGGCCAUGGAUUUCCUUUUUUCAAUCUCCUUUUGGUUUCAGAUUGGGUUAAACCUCACUGGAUGUUUACCCUUCAUUUCAGGGAAUAGAACAGGUAAGAUUCUUUAUGAAACAAAAGCAGCUCCAAACUGAAAAGCAGGAAUGUGUCACCCACUACCCACAACUGCAAGCAUAGAUUAGUUCAGAAAUGUGAACUGGACUGGAGGUUUUGCUUUGUAGAGUGAUAUGUUUAUAUGCGAAAGAGGAGGAGAAAAGAGGAGGAAGGUCUGAAGCAUAACAGCUCAUAGAGGGAACUGUGCAAAUGCUUUUCACUAAAUUUUCCCACAACCACAUCUCUGAAGAAAGAGACAAGGAAAGGGAUUCUCGGCUAACUGUUGGUCUGUGUGAAGGACUCCAGUAAAGACCUCAUCUCUGGUGUUUAAGUAGAGCUAAUGUGAGGAGUAAAGAUCAUACAGCAAAAUACAACAUCCAUUAGCUGCUUGCACAUGCAAGGACAAAAAAUCUUUGAUCCCCAAAGAAUACCUUUUUCAUGGGAGUCAGACACAUCACAUGGAGUCUUAAGAUCUUGAAAAUGUCCAGGAAAAAAGGUGCUCCUUGCAUUUUGCCCUGGCAUGUUUUGAAGUGUGCCUGCCCUGAGGAGGUCUUGCAGCUGUGUUUGGAAAACAGACAAGCAACAGUAUCAACGGAUGCUUCCUGUGCUUACCUAUGAGGAUGUUAGAGGGAACUGUGUCAAGAGCCUUGCUGAAGUCAAGGUAGACAGCACUCACUGCUCUCUCAUCUACACAGCAAGUCAUUUCAUUGUGGAAGGCUAUUAGACUGGGUAUGGAAGAUUUCCCCUUGGACUUCAUGCUGUACAGAAUGGGAGGGAAUGUCCAUAAGCAGUCGCAGAAGAAGAGCAUGCUGUAGCAGCCUGCUCCCCACACAGGUCUGAUAUACAAAAGCACUUCAUCACUGACCUAAUUUGGGUCCAUUUAAGAUUUCCCCAGCCUCACUGAUGCUAAUCUCAUUGUCCAGGAAUCAGCAAAGGGUAAUUAGCCUCUGUGAUAAUGAUCUAUCUGUCACAAGAUCAUGCCCUCUCAUUGCACACAAUCUCGGAUGUUGUCUAACCUAGCACAGGAGUACGGAGCACAGCCAUGCACAGAGCUUAACCAAAAAGAAGCAGAAGCCCUUGCUGGGGAAGCAUGGAUGUUGCUCCACCAAUUCUGAAACAGAAAAAAACCAAAUCAUUUGUGAAGAGAACUUCAAGGAAGAACUUUACUGUGAGGAACAGAGGCCUGAUCAAGAAAUAUAUCUGACUUCCUGAGAAUUAGCAUGAUUUUGAGGAGAAAUGUGUUCUCUGCCCCAUCCCACUGUGAAGAUGAGGAGUGAGGGAAUGACUGUGUAGUUCUGAGCCAUCUGAGGAGUUAAACUGCAAAGCAAUGACAGCUUAGGGACAACAGAAGCCCUCAGAGAGCUUGGCCAUGUUUUCACAUCACUCUUCAUUGCAUCAGCUACCUGUUCUCCCUGCAGAAAACCUCCAGAAGUCAUCUGUGACAUCUUCUGCAGCUUUUUGAUCUCCUGAGAUGUGAGAGGGAUCCUGGCUGAAGGGCUUGCAGCUUUGAGAUGAGGCAGGCACAUAUGAGACAAGGCAGCCACCUCUGUUGAUCCCUCAUCCUCAUGCAUGGUAGUAAGGAAGAAAGCUAUGAAUUACAAAUUUUGAAUUUUGCUCUGGGUGUGGACUCACUGGUGGUCAUGAGUGAGGACCUCAGGUGCUUCUAGGCUGGAAGGGAAGAAUGGGACCAGAUGUACACCAGGCAGUCAAAGCGGUCGAAGCUCUGUACACCCACAGCUUGCUGGUGAGCACUGGGUUUUGAAAAUGGAGGAAGGUAAAGAGAGAACUAAUGCAGGUAGGCUGUGGCUGUUGUACGUGUGGCCAUGUGUUCCUGGUUCCUCCCUGUAUUCUCUCUAGUGAAUCUUGCUUCCUGGUUCAGUGUUUUCGUAAUAAUGGCAUAUUAAUAACUACGUAACCCACUGUCUUCUCUAUCCUUGACUCAGUUCCCAGAAGCCCCACUCCUUCCCAUCCCUUCAUGCCCCUCCCUGCCACCAUGAGAGAUGAACAGAAGCAGGCUCUCCUUCUGUAUCUCUGGCUCAGGUGACCUUUCCACAGCUGCCACUUUGAACCUGCCUCAUGGAGGGGGCUUGUGCCCCUUGUGCUCUGCUGCUCUAGGGGAGCGAGACUUGGCUCCAGCAGGCUCACAAGUACACCCCUGUAGAGAGGAGCAGGGAUAAAUGGAGGAUUAACCGCAGCUAUGGGUCUGCCGUCAAAAUGUCUAGAAAGCCUAUUUUUUAAACAACCUGAUUGCAUGUAGGAGUAAUUUCAGUGGCCUGUACUUCUUAGCUCUUUUUUUGUAUUUUGUGGUAUGUGUCAGUGAACAGAACUUAAUAAUACUUCACCCAUAUGAACCUCUGUGAUUGCAUGCAGUUUCAGCAGAAAAACAAAAUUAAUUCUCUCACUUCACAGUAGUUUUUUGGAUAAUAAGCUGACCUUUUGCAUUUAUUUUGUACAUAGAAAACACUACUAAUUCAUUAAGAUAGGGAUCUGCAGAUUAACAUUUUAAGUGUUACUGAAAACAACAAAUUAUGUUAUUUAUAGAGAUUUGAAAUUAUACCUAUUUGAGGCUGCGAGUGCACAAAAUUUAAAACAUAAGAAUAAAAAUAUCUGCCACAGAAGAUUCAAAUCUUACAGGUUUCUACAAUUUACAUAAUGUGAAAAGCAACAACAGCAAUGCUCAUGAAGAAUGCAGAUGAUGUAUAACAGAGUUGGUUCUUACUCUGAUUGCAAACCAACCAUUAAGUCACUACCAGUCUAUUGCUUUAGUUUAAAAAACCAUUAUGUAGAUGAAAUAUACUUGCUUUCAGGUAAUUCUUUUAAUGAUUAAUUUUGCUGGUAUAUCACCAUGAGAUGUCACAGUAUGAUGAUAAUUAGUAAAUAUAAUAAAACAGUAGCUAAAUGUAACAAAUGAUAUUAUAAGUAGAUCAACACUGGUUUUCUAUGAGAGACGCUGUUGAGGUUUGUCCAAAGAUUCAAUAUCGUUUUUAAUUUUUACUAUUAAAUAAUUGGUGCAGCUUGAAAGAGAGAAAUUUCUAGAGAUGGGAGUUACAUUCAUUGUCAUAAUCAACUCCAAGUACUCGUCAUUGACUGCUCUGGGAUAUUUUGGCUCACAGGGCAGCAUUAAGGCCAAUGUUUGCACCUUUAUCUCAGUUGCUGGAAUUCUCUGGUACGCACUUUCUAUUAGGAAAGGUCUAGAUACACUGAAACAUAGCACAUUUGUAAAGCAGAUGAAGAAACUAGUCAGGAGGUUUGCUGACAGCAAAUUUUGUUUAGCUAGUUUUACUAUAAGCAAUUUACUCUACAUGUGCAUUUCUGCAUUCAAAUUGUUCUUUAUUAAGAUCCUUCCCUAAUAAUAUAAAAAUGUGUUUAUAAAGCCUGUAAGUGGUUUCUGUAAUAAGAUUUUUAAUGAGUUGGAAUAUUAAAUUAAGUUUUGUAGAAAUGCUUGAGGUGUUGUUAUAACUAACUUACAAACUGUACACCAUUAACUUUAUCAUAUAGAGUAAUUUUGGUUUCUAUUCAAGCAAUAUACAGCUCCGAAAUACUAACUGUCAGAUACUUUACACUGCAAAUGGAAUUUUGCUGACUAUUUAGCAAUAAUGUCUGUGGUUAUGAUAUCUGAGCCCCACAGGGAGAGCAAUUCAGCUGGUUGGUCAACCUGGGGGUGGGCUGCAUUGUCAGGUUGUGCGCUCCGUGCUGGGUGGCAUAAAGCAGAGCAGCCCAGAAGCACCACAGGCUGCUUAGCUGGCACUUGACAGAGACUGUCUGGCUCUCUGGGGUUUACAUUCUCUCCCCUUUGCUUACAUCUGGGUUUCCUUAAAAGUAAGAAAAUGUGCAGAGAUCCCCAAACAUUUACUGUCUCAAUGGCCAGUGCACAGCAGACGAAGCAUAGCUAACCUUAAGCUGCUCAUGUUUAAAUAAAAGUGAUUAAUGAGAUUGCAGAACAAGCAGCAAACUCAGAGUUUUUCAGUUGUGUUUUUGCACUCUAUAGUUAAUACAAAAUCAUCUAACAUAAGAUGUAUAACUUAGACUAUGGUUCUUCCUUACCCCCACCUUUUUUAAAACUUCUACUGAUAGUACAGGGAACUCAUGCUCCUAACUUUUGAAAGGCAGGUCUUCCAGAACAACUGAUUUUUGCUUGUAAGCUGCUGCCCUCUUUGCUCCUGGCAAAAAUGCUGCGUGUUGAUGCAGAUGAUGGUGUAACUAGGACCCGUAUAAGUCUUAUCAUCCAAGCAAAUAUGCCUUUGCCAUAAUGGGCAAUAUUUUUCAUGACCUGAUAGAUGAGGGAUAGAUGAGUUGUGCAGCUCUCCACUGUUUGGACAAGAGGCCAUCAGCAGCUGAGGAGUGAAACAGUGCAUCACACCUCAUGUGGAUGGCAGGAGUUCUCUAAAACGGAUGAUAUGGCUACUUUUCUUAGAGGUCUUUAACUUCAUUUGUAAAUCUACGGAUGCUUUUUGUUUCUUAUUCACAUUUUACUUCACCUUAUAUACUCUUCAUCUACUUUCUCACUUCUUAUCCUUUUGACUUAUUCAAGGUUUGUCAUAUCUCAGAGUGGCAGGUCAGUGAAAAAGCUCCCACUGAGUUGGAAGAAAAUGUGUUUUGUCAUUAUUUUGAUUUUGACUUUGAGAAGUUUGAACUGGUAUAAGACAAGCUCUGCUCUUCCAAACCCUGGUGCUGUGACAGUGGACCAGUGACAACAGCUUAUCCUGUCUCAACUCCUUCAUCUUCAAAAUGAUGGUGAGGAUAUGUACCUCUGUCAAGUGCUAGGAGAAGAAAAAGCAGCAUUAUAAAUAAAACCAAAGCAUUACUGUGAUCUAUUGUGUAGAUUUAGUAUCCAGCAUUAGUUGAAGUUUCUCACCCCAGGGAAGCAUGGAGCUGCUGGCCACGUAAGCUGGAAAGUGAAAAGCUAUCUGUCACUCUGGCAAGUUGUGCAUCCCAAGUGGAGACAGCAGCACAUAGAAAAAACACGACAUGCCAUAGGGAUGGCAAUGACUUUCUUGUUUCAAGCAGAAUCUGGUUAAGGUAUACUGUUAUUACUGCUUGCUUUAAAUUAAAAUACAUUAAAUGCUGCCAGUAAACUGAGAGCUGGCAGCAUUGAGAAACACGAAGCUGCUGCUGAAUAUUCUGCAAGGCUAACUGCAGUUAUUGAGGGACUUACCAUUGCAGCAAAUGGGCUGCAACAUCAGAUUUUAAGAUACUGGGGUAGUGCUGUUAAGCUGUGGUGCAUCUCAGAUGUGCUGCCUCUCCUCAUGAGAUUGACGUGGAUUCUGCUGUGCUCACCACACUCCAGUGCAGAGCACUGCAGGGCAUUCAGCCUGUUGAGAAAGGUCAAAACAAGACUACAUCAGCCUCUGAACCUAAAAACUCUGAACUCUUUGCUACCUAUUAGGAUGAAUGAAGAAAACUGUGUUUUGAUGUGUGACAUCCCAAAGAAUUGCUUGAGGCAGACGAGAAAGUUAGUGCUACUUAAAGGAAGGAGUGCUGUCUGUAAGCGGGAUCUCUCAAAGCACAGAGCACAGCCUGGCUCCAACAAGCUGCCUUCUAAACAGAAGCUGUCCACACUGAAUUGGCUGUAGAUUUGGUAAUGAGGUGCUCAUCUCAACAGUCAUUAAAAUGUUUCCACCUUUUUACUCGGUUAAAGAAAAGUCCUUUGUUCAUUGUAAGGUAUUACGGAAAUAAACGGUGUUUAAAGAAA
This is a long non-coding RNA of Gallus gallus (chicken), 6257 nucleotides long. RefSeq lists it as uncharacterized. The transcript has 10 exons. NCBI's taxonomy places the organism in Eukaryota, Metazoa, Chordata, Aves, Galliformes, Phasianidae. The record is from RefSeq and is a predicted model, not a curated record.